AUGAUUCCGCCUUUAAUUGUUAAUUGCAUGCUAUAUGAUGUUGCUUAAAUGAACAUGUUUUCACAAAAUCUUCCUUCAAAAUACCUUUGCCACUGUUCUUGUUUUGAGAACAUGCAUAGUUUUUAUCCAUACUUUAUGAGUAAGACAAUGAGAGUUAAAAACAUUUUAGUCAUAGUAAAAAGGAAUCUCAAAGCCAAUCUUAUUGGAUUUGAAAUACAAGCUUUAAAUGACAAGUUCAGACAAUGAAAACUGUUGAUGCACAAAAUCAGCGAGGACUUUGGUACAACAGAAAGUGUUAAGUUUGUGACCUUCGCUAGAUUGCUCCGGUCACUAGUGCGGAUAAGUAAGUAAAUGGAUAGGGACAGGGAAGCAAACACAAGAUGUACGUGGUUCACCCAGAUUGGCUACGUCCACGGAGUAGAGGAGUUCUCAUUAACGGUGAAGGGUUUACACAAGUACAUAGGUUCAAGCUCUCCUUUAGUGAGUACAAGUGAAUGAUUUAGUACAAAUGACAUUAGGAAUUAUUGUGAGAGAAUGAUCUCUAUUUAGAGAAGAGAGUUUCUAGUUUCAUUCUAACAUUGACACGUGUCGUGUUGUGAUUGGCUUCUGAUAUUGACACGUGUCGCGCUAUGAUUGACUUCUGAUGUCGACACGUGUCGCACUGUGAUUGGCCUUCUGGUUGGAGGGAAACUCUUCUGGAUCCUUGACAGUAUAAAGUUGACUGGUGCUCAGUAGUUUCAAGAUUGGUCAAGUAUAGUACAAACAGUGC
RNAcentral lists this long non-coding RNA (769 nucleotides) under Malus domestica (apple). Its description in RNAcentral is "long non-coding RNA (MDOM_LNC015441)". Lineage: Eukaryota; Viridiplantae; Streptophyta; Magnoliopsida; Rosales; Rosaceae. The record is from RNAcentral.